This is a long non-coding RNA of Passer domesticus (house sparrow), 8912 nucleotides long. RefSeq lists it as uncharacterized. The transcript is spliced from 2 exons. The record is from RefSeq and is a predicted model, not a curated record. Lineage: Eukaryota; Metazoa; Chordata; Aves; Passeriformes; Passeridae.
GCAGGACUCGGCGGGCAAGGCAGGCAGGGAGGGCAGGGCAGGGCACUGAGAGCAGCGGCGGGCUCUGUCCCUGCGCUGCAUCCCGUGCCUGGGUCACCAUCGGUGACAGGGAGGAAGGACAUUGCUCUGUCUUGCCUGGGGAAAGGAUGAAAAGGGGGCAUUAGAAAACAUUCAUUUGGUCUCCUUUUCAGCAGACUGGCUCUUUUUAUCUCACCAGGUCUGCCUGUCUUUGGCAGAGUUGGCACAUUUCUCAUGAUUUGGAGUCAGCUACAGCAGCAGGAAGGGGCAGCAAUUUUGUCUGCAUUGUCAUCCAAGCUAAAGUGCUGGCCCAUGGGUGGAUGUUGCUUUACCCAAGGAAUACAGAUAAACACGAAUAGAUUCUAGACAAAACAAGGGAUUCAGGGUACUUGCGGUUCAGUUGUUUUGGUUUAACUAUCAGCUUGUCUACAGGAACAAAUCAGCUGUGAAUACUAAAAGUUCUUAGCAGAGACUUUUUUUCUGGGCCUGUGCAAUGCUCUAAAUUUAUUUUUGUCCCCUACCACAAUAUUUCCUGUAAGUUGACCAGACUGCAUCACAGAAACUCCAGGCAGAAAAUUGAUGAACAUCAAAAAUCCAUGGCUAAAGCCUCUCCCUCAGCUCUGGAGCCACCACACAAGCUGUUGAUACAGCCUUUUGUAAGGAAGGGGCAUGGUACCACCACAGUGAUGUUUCCAUAACCAAGGUGCAGAUGUGAGAUGAAUGGCCAAGAUGAAGGCCAAGAUGAAGGAGUGCCUCAAGAGUAAAGUAAACUGCAAAUCACCAGGAAAAGAAAGAAAAAAUACCCAGUACUAAAAACAUUGCAAGUGCCUGAGGCGUAAGUCAGAGCAAGCCUCCAUUAUCACUGCAGACACUUGGCAGCUUUGCUCAUCAGGCUUCCUAGGAUCUGACUGAGUGACCUUGUUUGGUGGGAAGGCACAGAUGGAGUCUGGCAGUAAAUCUUGUUCAUGUAGCAAGUAUUCCUGCUGCUGGAUGAGGUUUGCACCUCGUACGAGCGUUUCUAGCCCCAGUAAACAACCACUGUUCCCUCCUCCCACUGUCAGCCCCUUAUUUCAUGCCACCAGGUACUCCAGCACUUCUUUUUACUGUCAGUUACCAAAAAUAAAGAGAACAUCUCGCUGUGAGUGUAGGAUGAUCUUUCUCUCAAAGGCAGUCAUGCACCUCACUUCUAGAGAAGCUGAUGUUUGCUUUUAAAUUUGGUUGUGUUACCUGAUAGACCCUAAGGCUUUCUUCUGCUGUGAGUCUGUUCCUGAGCUUGAGAAAUAAUUCUAUGAUAGGAAUGCAGUUUUUUACUAAAGUCAUACUCACACAGUUUACAAUACAAUAUAAAUAACUAAUAUAUAAGUAAUAAAUAAAAGGUUUAUCUAUCAGCCAAUUUUAAAUGGUCUAAAAUUUCAGGAUGUAGCCUAUUUAGUUUCAGUGAGAAAAUAAAAAGCUGCUUUUAAAGUUCAUUCAGCUUCUAAAGGGCAAUGCUAAAAAUGUGACACCACCUUGGUUCAGUGAAUGCCUUUGGGUAAAAGAAGAGGGAUACAAGAGUAACUGAAAUAUUUAAGUAAAAUUCAGUGUUGUGACCCUGAACACCAGGACAAAAUUCACAUUGUAUAAGCCAUAUUUCUAAGUGCAAUAAACCAUAUCUAUAAGUGAUAUUUUCUAAGUGUUUUGCACUGCUGAAGUACAGUGGCAAAGCUGAGAGUGGUUAGGGACUCCCAUUUUUCAGUUCUGCCUUCAGAUUUAUUUACUAAGUUCCCCAUCCAAAGGCAGAUGUGAAGACAUCAUUCCAAAGCAACAGCUUUGCAUAUUUUGAAAUGAUAUUCCAUCCUGCUUUGCAGAUGAAAGAAUCAAGCUUGACAUCAGAAACCAGGAUGGAUUUCUAGUGUCUCUUCCCUGACCACUUGGUUCUACAGGCUAGUUCAGGGCUCCCGCACAAAGAAUUCUGAGCCUGACUCCAAGGAAAAGCAGCUUUCUGCUGCCUGUGCCUGUCCCUGCAGGAGGGGCUGCUGCAGGGUGCUCUGCAGCACCUGGUGACUUGGAUUGCUGAGAAGGAAGGAAGGGAACAGACAGAAGCCACCACAUGGCUUUUACUGCUGCCUUUGCACCCCUCAUCCCUCUUCUAAAAGCCAGCAAGGCUCUGCAAUGGAAAGCCAGCACUGCUCACAGCCCUACUGAGGCUUAUAGUGCCUGCUUGUUUGUUUUUAAACACGAUAAUUUAUCUUAUCCCAUGGGUGUUUCUGCCAAGUUCUUGUUGCUUCCAAGGUUCCAACACUUUAUUAUUUAAAACUCCUCUGUGCUGCUUGCUCCUGUAGGGAUUAUGAAAAGAAAUUAAAUUUAGGGCACCAAAGAUCAUCACAGGCAGAGGAAUAAAACCUCCCUGCAAGCUUAAUUAAGACAAGAAGAUGGGCUGAUAACAGAUAAUAUUUUGCUAACUAGUCACCAAAGGUAGGAGAAGGUAGGCCUGCAGAAAAGGACACACUAUUACUAUUAAAAAAUGCAUAAUAUUACAAUAUAAUAAUUAUAUUAUAUUAUAUUAUAUUAUAUUAUAUUAUAUUAUAUACUAUUAUUAUUAAAAUCUUUAAGUUGCAUAGAAGGUGAUAUCCAGGUACUGAUACAACAGGAAUGGGAAAGGCUUCUCAGGGUCUGAUGGGAAAGAAAUGAGCAGAGUGUGUUAAACAGACAAAUGGGACAGAGGAAGAUGUUCUAGGCAGAAAUAUGCUGGAAAUAUUUUGAAGCAGAGUCCUGGCAAAGUGUUUUCAACGUUGUUGUUAAUAAGGCUUGAAUAACACUGGUGUAUCUUGACCUUGGCUUCGGGCUUUCAAGCAAGUGAAAUUAUGUGCUGGUAUGACCCAUGACUUCAGAGAGGUGUCCCUUUCCUGUGCCUGUGCUAGGGGUCUAAAUAGUCACCUAAUCUAUGUUGCUUGCUCCUUUGAAACGACUCAGUAGUGUAAGAGAUAACUACAUCUGUUUUCAGACAAUAAAACUUUAUAUAAUUCCUUGGGAAAAAUCCUCCCUCAGUGUGUGCAUGUAGAUAAUCUGCACACUUCACAGGAAAUAUAUGCUGGUCAGCAUAAGUUCUGUAAAUUUAAUAAUAAUAAUUAAAAAUGUAGGCAAAUAUAUUUUAGCUUUGCCUUUUCCUCAGUGAGGACUAAUUGGGAUUUGCAUGUUAUGAAGACUUUUUAAAGAUGUGAGCUGAUAUUUGUGCCAAUUUUGCACGCUGGAUUUCACAAUCAGAUUGAUUCUUUCUGAGAUUGGUAGGUCAGGAUUGUCAAGCCCUUCCUUCCACUUGUCCUUGUUCACUGGAGCUAUUUUCUUGUGAGAGUGGCUCUGUAUUGCAGGGAUCAGAGCAUUCCUUGCACUGCACUACCAUUUCUGCAGGUGCCUGCAGCAAUGAAGGAGCAAGCCUUGGCAAUUCUCCCUGGUAAGAGUCUGUUCUCAUGGGUAAAUGACACAGCCAUGGAAGUGGAGCCUCAGAUUGCUCCUGCAUCUCUGCAGACACACUUGCAGAGAAAAUAUUCUGGUCCUAGGAAAACACCAUUCCCUUCAGCUGACAGGCUCUGCAAUGAAAGCCUGGGGGAGCUGCAAGAAGUGAAAUUCAGAUUGCCUUCAUUUUAUCUAAAUAUUUAUCAAAAUAAAACUACUUUUUUUUUCCCCUGCAGAAAAUUCAUGUUUCCAUUGCUAGUUGAUUUUACCCAAUUCAUCCUAAACCAUGCAGAUUUUUUUGGUGAGGUGUUGUUUUUCGUUACAUGCAAAUGCAAUUUCCCCUGAAUAAAAAUUCUCCAUUUGUACUGUACUAUUAUUGUUGGGUUUUUUACCUAACUUGCUAAAUUUAUAAAUGGAAACCUUCAGCAAUGAAUAAACUAUUCUCAGACAAAAAAAAAUACCUAAUGCAAGUGCUGUACUUUUUAUCUCUAUGUUGAGUUUCUCUAUUGAGCUAUACUUGACAAAUACUUGAAUUACUGAGAUGUUGGUUUUUCAAACACCAAAACAAAUUUGCCACUGAUUAUGGCCACCUGGAAAUGUCCUGGAGAAACAUUUUGCUUCACAAGGCUGGAUUUGCUGCUAACAGUACAAACUUAUUUCCUGUUUAUUUGUUGAAAUAACUGUGCUUAUUUCUGUAAAUUUGGAUUAGGACUAGUUUAUUUCACAUCACUAAUGGGUAGCUCACAAAAUAGCCAUUAAAAGUUUUCAGAUUAUUAAAAAUACUGAAGGGGAAAUAAAAAUUUAUCACUACAUCAUUAAUUUAACCAUAAUUCUUUACCUUCCUAUAGGCCAAUGUCAACACCUUUAAAGCAAGCUCUGAAGGCAAAGUCAAUGAGUUGUGUUUUGGAAGGUUUCUGAUUUAAUUUAAAUCCAUGCAAAUCCAGUGUAACACCAUUCAAGUGUAUCAAUAAUUGAAAAAACGUUCCACUGAAAUUAGCUUUAUAUGUGGGGGAAAUACUUUUUUUUUUUUUUUUACAAAACUAGUCAUCCUUUAAAAAAGCCCAGCCAAGAAGAACAAUGGUCUGAUUUUCAUGGGAAAUUUUAACAAAAAGUGAUGUAAUAUUACUUCUCUGUAUUCUCAUAUGAUAUAUAAAAUAAUCCUACAGGACUCUGGAGCUUUUUAAGGACUGGCAACACCUCCAAUGUCCUUGAUAUGUGUCAUGGCAUGGAUUAUUGCUCAAAUCAAUGCAUAGCAAUUUCCAGUCAAGGGAAACAACUGUCCAUUGGUUUGCUCUGAUACAUUUUCAGAGUAUCCCUACAGCCUCCCAUGGAUGUGCAGCUGCUCAGUUACAGCUUAAUUGCAUGACCCCGUAGGCUGACACCCAAGGAGUGCUCGUGGUAGGUGGUGACAUUCAGAACAAAGCAAAAAAGCAAAUACAGUGAAGACUGCAGCUCACACAGGAAGGGAAAGCAGACCAUGUGAAAAGAAAGAUGUCAUUCUGUCAUACAGUUGUCACACAUGUUCUUGUUUACAAAUCUCUAGGGUGUGUGUGUGGCCCUAAAAUGCCCACUCUGCCCAUCAACUUAUCUGAAGACACACAAAAACACUGUUCGUUUCUUAUCUACAGGAGAAAGAAUAAACCAGAAGAGAAGAAAACAACCAGUAUCUUUCUCACCAAAGCUCCCGGAGAAUCUCCUUGUUAAAACCAAGCAAACACCUUUCAGCAAGGCUAGUGUGCUAGACAGCAUCACCAGCCACUGGGGAAAUUGGAAGGCACCUUCAAUCUUCUAGAUAUUCCAGAUUUGGGAAUAUUUACUGCAACAGAAACUGGCCAAAAGCAGCAAUUUUAUGGCAGGUAUUCAGACCUCACCAUACGCUACCAAAUACACCUGGUCCAGGGAAUAAUCCUUUUUGUCACACAUAAUUGCAUUGUGGAGUUACAGGAAAUUGGUUGGACAGAGAAUUUCUACCCAGCUCCCAGCUCUGUCUCCUAUGAUGCUUCAAAUCAGGUUUAAUUAUUCCUUUUUUUUUUUUUUCCUGGCAGGAUGUUGUGAUGGUUUUAUGCCAAAAGGUUUGAAGAAAACUCACUUUUAAUGCAGCAUUUAUGGCAUGGCUUUUAGAUAUUUUACUGCUUACUUGAAACAAUAUUUGGACAUUUUGUUAUCCACUUUGGAAAACUAUUUUAUAUACAUUUCACACUACAUCCAUCUUAAGGAAUGUCUUAAAGAAAUUACUGUAACUUAAGGAGCCAACAAACAAUAGAUAUAAAAAUGAUGUGUGCAUAAAUAAGACAAUGGAGAGCUUAGAAAAUAAUUCCAUCAGUCUAUAUCAUCUUUUUCCAGACUAAUGUUUUAAAAGAGCAGCACCUUUUUCUUUGUGACAAGGCUUUUCUCCGUGCCUAAUAAGAUUCUUCUAUGUCCUAGGAGUAACCCAUGCAAUUUGAAGAAACAGGUGAAAGACAAAAAGAUAAUAUAAUGAAAGUCAUAGACUGACAGGGAAAGAAAGAGUCUGUAAAGCAAAGUUGUCAUAUCACCAUAAUUUCUGUCACUGAUCUAAUACAGAACAUGGUUCUUCAAAAUAUUCACCACAUUUUCAGUACAUGAGCCAAUCCUUCUUUCUUAGGAAAUGUGUUUAUUGCUUGUGUAGUUACUAAGAUUCAAGCACACACUUCAGAUGCUUUCCUAAGUGAGAUUACAGUAGGAAACAGUAGAUUCUAGAGAUCUUGCUUCAAGUGUUUCCACUUCUGAUUAUACCUCCACUCCCUCUCUUAAGAAACCAUUAUUAUUCAGUAAUAAAUUCCUCCAGAGAUUUCUUGGAGGGUUUUUUAAGGAUAAAUGCUAUAGAAGGGCAGAUGUGUGCCAUGUCAGCUGGCUGUAAAAGCAUUGCUGCCAGGAACUGAAGUUUAGAACAAGAACUGCAUCCUCACAUAUCACAGGAGAAGACAACGUUUUUGGUAUCUGGGCAAGUUCAUUUUAAAACUGAGGAAGCUGUUUAUGUAAAAAGCACUAAAAUACUAUAAGUGACCACAAAACACACUUUCUCAAAUUAAACAUUCUGAGCUAGCUUCAGAUUUAAACAAAAUUUCCAACUAUUGCUCUAUGGAAUAUGACAAACUCAGUGGUGCUGACCACUUCCAGUCACCUAAGUGGUGUGGGAAAAACAGAAGGGAUCAGGAUUUCUUUUUCCAGGUGUCACCCCACACCCUAACUUUGCAAACUCUUCAAACUUUUUAAAAUAGAAAUGAUAAUGUGUCUUAUCUAUCUCCUUCUCAUUCUGCAGCUAAACCAGUUUGAUGAUCUUACAUGUUUUGGCUCUUUUCUCCUUGCUUGCAGUGUGGAAGAAUGGGGAUAUGUGGCUUCUUUGGGGCAUGGAAAGAGCUGACAGAAAUGUUUCCUCUCCAGCUUGACAUUAUCCCUAGGAAUAUUCUGUUCCACAUCACCUGAGGGACAAGCUGAGUGUCUCUGAGCCCCCAGGGUUUCUGUCUCCUAUCAAGCACUGAGAGCACAGCUGAAAUUCUGGAGCACAGGCAGCCCCAGACACCCCCACACUGCAGUUUGAGUGCUGCUGCACUUUCCUUGGGCAGGAUUUGGUACCACAAGAGUGCAGAGUCUGGAAGAGAGACCUGAAGUGCUCACAGCAGGCUGCAUUGCUAAACAGCCAUUCACAUGCCACGAGCCACUGUCUUGUGUUUCCAGUUAGCUGAAAUUACAAUUCCUGUGCCUGGAACACAAAGGUCUUCAGCACAAGGACAGCAGAACAAUCUCACCAUGUUCUGGUGGGCUUUCCACAAACCACUUGGCAGUAGCUUUAUUCCUUCCUGUGCAAAUGUUCAGGUUAACCUCAGCAAGCAUGAGCUUUGAAUACCUGCUCUGGGAGUCCAUACUACCCAUGGAGAAAAGGAUUUCUAGUUAAAAUUGCACUGUGGGCAGGACACACUCGAUUCCUCUCCCUCUGUGCAUGGGCUAGAGGAGAUGUGGUUUGAACACUUCCAAUUCUGGAAACUUACUUAGGGUCCUCAGUCAGAAAUCAUAAAGCCAGUCCUGAAUGCUGCUAUUGACAAUAAAAUAAAAUAAAAUAAAAUAAAAUAAAAUAAAAUAAAAUAAAAUAAAAUAAAAUAAAAUAAAAUAAAAUAAAAUAAAAUAAAAUAAAAUAAAAUAAAAUAAAAUAAAAUAAAAUAAAAUAAAAUAAAAAUCAGGCUGCAUGUACGUGCUGAAACGAAAGUUUGCAGUUCUGUCCAGUGACAGAGAACCAUGAGAACUCUUCUAUCAGUUGCAUUUGGACAAAGCAGAGGAACACUCCUUCCUAGUGAUAGAGAAGACAUUUGUAGCCUCCAUCUGCUGCUGAACACACCAGCCAGGCUUUCAGCCUUUUGCUCUCUGUAGGGAGCUGGUACAAGUCAGUCACCUUGGACUGAGACAGAUCAAAGGUCUCCAAGUCUGGAAUCCUUUCCAGCACCCCUCAGGGACCAGCACUGAGCCAGCCAGGAGUUAACACACAGUGCUUCCAGCAUGUUUGCCAUUCCAGGAAUCCCUUUUCUUUUGCAUGAACACCCAUAAACAUCCACACCUGUACAGUCUGGCUCUGACAUACCCAUUCAGCACUCUGCCUCGUGUUUCCCCAGCCUCUCCCUCAGCUUUUGUGGGCAAAGCACCCUGUGCACCCAGGCGUUCUGCAGAGCCACACUCUGAGCCUGCUGAGCCUGUCAAAACAACUCUGUUGUUGUGGUAGCCAAGAAUAUAGGGUUUUUUCUCCACUGGGAAAGUCUCAGACACACGAGGUGGUUUCUGAGUUUUAAAUUGUACUGGACACAGGAGGUUUUACAGAGGGUCACCCACUACUGAUUAAAGAGAACAGCUUGCCUUCUGUGCUAUAAUUCAAUCCAUUGUUCCUGUACCUCCACUUGCUAGGCCUGUUAUUACCUUUUUCCCAACCCUUUUCUACAACAUCCUUCUCUCUACAGAUCUAAUUCAACUACUUUUGCUAAUGCCAUUAUAUGAUUUUCUUCUGAAUAGGGAAAAUGUUUUGAUUAAAAACCUUGACAUUAUGUUCAGGAUAAUCUACCAACCAGUUUCUCAGAUGACAGCUGAUAGAAGGCAGCAUGUAUCUAAAGAGUUUACAAUCAUAUCCCUGUGUUAUCUUAAUUAAUGCAGUAAGACCUGUGCAUAGAAUUCACUCUCUUCAUAAUAUAUUGACAGCUGACCUCAUUCCUCCAUGGCAUUUUUAAAAUGCAUUUAUUGUGCUGCAGUGUGAAAACUUAUAGAGAAACCCUCUAUUACAGAGGAAAUUCACAUAUUGUAAUAUUUACUUAUAAUAAUUAGUCUCAAGGUGUUCUGAAAGAUACAACCAAAGGAAUAGAAUGAGAGUCCAUGAAGACAACAAUUGAGUGUGCUGCAAAACAUAUGCUUGUGGUAUUUAUCAUGCUUUUCAUGCAUGAAAGGGAAAUAAAGGCCUUCUACAUCAA